AUAAGAUUUGGAAGUGUCUGAAAAUGCACUCCCCUUUAAAAUACGUGCCUGCAUAACACCAGACUUGGAUGUUGAUGCACGAAUGGCAAAGAAAAAGGAGAUCCUUUAGACUAGAGCAGGCAGUGGAAUUUGUUACAGCCAAUUGUGAAGUGUUGAUGAGUCAAACAUGAGAUUUAAAGCGGAGUGUUCAGCCUGCAACUACCCUGACUUAAAACAUUCCUCUCAGACAUUCACACAGGACCAGAACAGACAGUCAUAGUCUUCUGCUUUGAAAACAUCUCUCUGGUGUAGCGUGAUAAGAUUCCACUCUCUCCUACACAACAAAAGAAGAUAAAUACCUGUGAACAUCAGUCUUAUGCCUCCUAUGAAACACAACUCAUCUUCAGCCUUCUACAUCCGUCAUUUCAAACACAGAGAUGAAACUAUUCACUGGGCUAUCCCAACUCCCAGGUCUUUCCAAGGGAAAAGAGAAUCCUCGAAAAGGAAAAUAUUCUACAGAAUUUGUUACAUUGUGAAAAUUGUUUCCAAUCAAAGGCAAGUGGUCAGUAGCCUGUUGCACUCUGAAGUGUCUUCUGGAUUCUUAAUUCAAUAUCCACAUGGCUUCUGUAACUAUAAAAUCUCUUUCCACAGUUAAAGGCUUCUUCCAUGACUUGAAGACAUGACCAAAGCACACUACAUCUUUCUCUGGAUCAACUCUGGAUCCUCUGGAUCAACUACACUAUCCCACUGUACAUGGCGGCAGAUGGAAGUUACAGAGUUCAUAAAUAAGAGAGGGAAGAACACAUUCCCAAUGAUCCAAUAUGCCAGGAGCCAAAAUCAAAUUGAUCUUCCAAGUCACACAGUGAGAAGAUUGCACCCUCUCCUGGUGCAACCAGGAUCAAGAUUCCAAAGACAAGACCUGCAAUACAACAGACGCAGUGACAAAGGGUGGCAGAAUUCCACCUCUUCUGUUGACAUCUCACCUAUGGAAUAUGAUUGUGAUCUCAAAACUUACUCUUACCAGAAUGAAACAAAAGGUUCAGGUCACAAUAACUCACAAUUCCAUAGGAAUUUUCUCCAUGAGAAUAAAUGGAAAAAGCAUCAAUGAAAAUUUUGUCACAUUGCACUGUUGCUUAAUGCACUGCACAGGAAAGGGGGAGUAUACAUGAACUCCUGUGGUCGUGGUCUUCACUGAACCAGGGAACACAGAAAACACAGGGGAGGCCACAGCAGCCUUGUGUGACAACUGGUGCUAAAUCUUCCCAGAAAAUCUCCCAGAAAAGGCACUAGUCCACCUGUUCAUUUUAUUUUCAGUCCUGUAACCUUGGCCUGGCUGACAUAUGGACUUCCUGAGCACCACAGAUCUACCUGCUCUAAGUACGAGGUUUCUCAGACAGCCUUUUGGAAGAAGCAAGAAAACUCUUCCACAUGCAGAACCCAGGGUUAAAAAAUACACUUAUUAGUAGCAUGCAAGAAACACACCUCCUAGUACAUCAAGGCUACUGCAAAAAGGCAUCUUUCACCUUGGUUUUGACAAAAUUCCUCUCCCCACAGUGAACAUAAUUUAUCUGAUGGAUUUCUCUUUGAAAUGAGGAAUGAAGUCCAUCUCUGUAACUUUACUGAAUAUGAAAUAACAAUUAUAUAGAAUCUAAAUAUACCGAACACUUUCCUGCUCUCCAUCCCUCACAUGAAUCCAGUAUCACUCUUGUGCCUAAACAGAAGCAUUAGAGACAGCACUCAUCCAUUUUUCAGUGUAAAAAGCAACCUUGUAAAUGCUAAGAACCAGCAUAAGAACCUUGGAAAGACUGUCAAUGAGCGUAGCGUGUUUUUUGGCAUUUCAUUCCUGGGUUGUGGGGUCUUUUUCCUUAGUUUCUUAUUCAGCAUAUAUGUAUACAUCUCACUAUUUAUCUUCCUCCCUAUCCACCUAUCCAUAAGAUUAACAAGGGGCAUGCUAAGUGCAUUAGUGUGUGGCUGCAUGCAAAGACAGAUAUGUAUCCCUCCUUUAUGACCAGAUGCCCCUUCCUGCAAUUUCUUCCACUGGCAUCUCUUACUGCCACUGUGCAGAGGCAUGUCCCUUCAUGACCUAAUUUUCAAGAGAUCAUAGGCAUAAUGGAGUUGGACUUCACCUACACACAUUGUGCAAUUAUUCAUGUAUUUUAUCUGGUGAAUAUUUUCACUAGGAUUUCCCCCUUGAACUAAAAUAUCCUAGCCUCUACAGACCAGUUUAGUCUUGAGAAAAUCAGUCCGAGUCUGUACCUUCCUUGUGCUGGUCUCUAAGACAGAUGCACUGGAUCAGGGCAGCAGUGACAGGUGAGACAUGAGCUACCAGCAGGGAAGGACUCUGCUAGACUUGAAAGCUGGAUUCUUCCAUAUGGGCAAACAUUUCUCAGUGUCAAAAGAGAAGGGCAAGGCCUGGAACAAUAGACUCUCUUGCUGGGACAUGAAUCCCACAGGGCAGAGUGAGGGGGAGUUUUAAAAUGUGGGUACUGUGCUGAAACAGCCAUGUCACACCCUCCAGCUCACCCAUAUAACUCCAGAUAAAAUUAAUCUGGAAUUAUGUCUGAAGAAAAGAGACUGUAUCCUCCAUACUUCUUCUCUGGCCCCACAGAAGAACCCCAGGCCUUGGAGAAGAGAACAAGGAGUGCAGAGAAAAGAACAUGUGGUGUUAUGAGUCAGCAAUGGAAAGAACUGCCCAGGAUGAUUAUCUCUAAACUCAAGAAGGGAUA
Passer domesticus (house sparrow) is the source of this 2705-nucleotide long non-coding RNA. RefSeq lists it as uncharacterized. Lineage: Eukaryota; Metazoa; Chordata; Aves; Passeriformes; Passeridae. The record is from RefSeq and is a predicted model, not a curated record. The transcript has 4 exons.